CAGCAGCCGCGGUAAUACAGAGUGUGCAAGCGUUAAUCGGAAUUACUGGGCGUAAAGCGCGCGUAGGUGGUUCGCCAAGUUGGAUGUGAAAUCCCCGGGCUCAACCUGGGAACUGCAUCCAAAACUGGCGAGCUAGAGUAUGGUAGAGGGUGGUGGAAUUUCCUGUGUAGCGGUGAAAUGCGUAGAUAUAGGAAGGAACAUCAGUGGCGAAGGCGACCACCUGGACUGAUACUGACACUGAGGUGCGAAAGCGUGGGGAGCAAACAGGAUUAGAUACCCCAGUAGUCCCUGUCUCUUAUAC
This 301-nucleotide ribosomal RNA is filed under the name uncultured bacterium. Its description in RNAcentral is "partial 16S ribosomal RNA". It matches the Rfam family "Bacterial small subunit ribosomal RNA", at positions 509 to 807 of the family's 1533-position model. The record is from RNAcentral.